This 570-nucleotide ribosomal RNA is filed under the name uncultured bacterium. RNAcentral describes it as "bacterial SSU rRNA". It matches the Rfam family "Bacterial small subunit ribosomal RNA", at positions 268 to 848 of the family's 1533-position model. The record is from RNAcentral.
CCAAGGCUUCGACGGGUAGCCGGCCUGAGAGGGUGACCGGCCACACUGGGACUGAGACACGGCCCAGACUCCUACGGGAGGCAGCAGUGGGGAAUAUUGGACAAUGGGCGGAAGCCUGAUCCAGCAACGCCGCGUGAGGGAUGACGGCCUUCGGGUUGUAAACCUCUUUCAGCACAGACGAAGCGCAAGUGACGGUAUGUGCAGAAGAAGGACCGGCCAACUACGUGCCAGCAGCCGCGGUAAUACGUAGGGUCCGAGCGUUGUCCGGAAUUAUUGGGCGUAAAGGGCUCGUAGGCGGUUUGUCACGUCGGGAGUGAAAACCAGGUGCUUAACACCUGGCCUGCUUUCGAUACGGGCAGACUAGAGGUACUCAGGGGAGAAUGGAAUUCCUGGUGUAGCGGUGAAAUGCGCAGAUAUCAGGAGGAACACCGGUGGCGAAGGCGGUUCUCUGGGAGUAUCCUGACGCUGAGGAGCGAAAGUGUGGGGAGCGAACAGGAUUAGAUACCGUGGUAGUCCACACUGUAAACGUUGGGCGCUAGGUGUGGGAUCCAUUCCACGGGUUCCGUGCCG